This 503-nucleotide ribosomal RNA is filed under the name uncultured bacterium. RNAcentral's name for it is "partial 16S ribosomal RNA". It matches the Rfam family "Bacterial small subunit ribosomal RNA", at positions 30 to 523 of the family's 1533-position model. The record is from RNAcentral.
AUUGAACGCUGGCGGCAGGCUUAACACAUGCAAGUCGAGCGGGGUGAUGGUGCUUGCACUAUCACUUAGCGGCGGACGGGUGAGUAAUGCUUAGGAAUCUGCCUAUUAGUGGGGGACAACAUCUCGAAAGGGAUGCUAAUACCGCAUACGUCCUACGGGAGAAAGCAGGGGAUCACUUGUGACCUUGCGCUAAUAGAUGAGCCUAAGUCGGAUUAGCUAGUUGGUGGGGUAAAGGCCUACCAAGGCGACGAUCUGUAGCGGGUCUGAGAGGAUGAUCCGCCACACUGGGACGGAGACACGGCCCAGACUCCUACGGGAGGCAGCAGUGGGGAAUAUUGGACAAUGGGGGGAACCCUGAUCCAGCCAUGCCGCGUGUGUGAAGAAGGCCUUAUGGUUGUAAAGCACUUUAAGCGAGGAGGAGGCUCUUUUGGUUAACACCCAAGAUGAGUGGACGUUACUCGCAGAAUAAGCACCGGCUAACUCUGUGCCAGCAGCCGCAGUAA